GCGCACUAUUGGAUGUGCGUCUAAGCAUUUAGGCAUGCUUGAUAGGUAAAUCCGUCGAGCUAAGCUGAGGUGUGAUGGGGAGCCAUUUAUGGCGAAGUAUCUGAUUCCACACUGCCAAGAAAAGCCUCUAUCGAGUGAAUAGGUGCCCGUACCGCAAACCGACACAGGUAGGUGAGGAGAGAAUCCUAAGGCCAUCGGAAGAAUUGCUGUUAAGGAACUCGGCAAAUUGACCCCGUAACUUCGGGAGAAGGGGUGCCUACGAAAGUAGGCCGCAGAGAAUAGGCCCAAGCAACUGUUUAGCAAAAACACAGGUCUCUGCUAAAGCGAAAGCUGAUGUAUAGGGGCUGACGCCUGCCCGGUGCUGGAAGGUUAAGGGGAACACUUAGCGUAAGCGAAGGUGUGAACUUAAGCCCCAGUAAACGGCGGCCGUAACUAUAACGGUCCUAAGGUAGCGAAAUUCCUUGUCGGGUAAGUUCCGACCCGCACGAAUGGCGUAAUGAUUUGGGCACUGUCUCAACAGCAAAUCCGGCGAAAUUGUAGUGCAAGUGAAGAUGCUUGCUACCCGCGAUUGGACGGAAAGACCCCGUAGAGCUUUACUGUAGCUUAGCAUUGAAUCUCGGUAUUGUCUGUACAGGAUAGGUGGGAGACUUGGAAGCUUGGGCGUCAGCCUGAGUGGAGUCAUCCUUGGGAUACCACCCUGACAGUACUGGGGUUCUAACCGGCGGCCAUGAAUCUGGUCACGGGACAUUGUUAGGUGGGCAGUUUGACUGGGGCGG
Molecule: ribosomal RNA, 776 nt
Filed under: Clostridium sporogenes
Lineage: Bacteria; Bacillati; Bacillota; Clostridia; Eubacteriales; Clostridiaceae
Description: partial 23S ribosomal RNA
Rfam family: Bacterial large subunit ribosomal RNA
Source: RNAcentral